UGGGGAAUUUUGCACAAUGGGGGAAACCCUGAUGCAGCGACGCCGCGUGUACGAUGAAGAUCUUCGGAUUGUAAAGUACUGUCCUUGGUGAAGAUAAUGACUGUAACCAAGAAGCAAGCCCUGGCUAAAUACGUGCCAGCAGCCGCGGUAAUACGUAUGGGGCAAGCGUUGUCCGGAAUUAUUGGGCGUAAAGGGUACGUAGGCGGUUAUUUAAGUCUAAAUUAAAAGGCAUUGGCUCAACCAAUGUAAGGUUUAGAUACUGGAUAACUUGAGUGGAUGAUGGGAAAGUGGAAUUCCAUGUGUAGCGGUUAAAUGCGUAGAUAUAUGGAGGGACACCAAUGGCGAAGGCAACUUUCUGGAAUCAACCUGACGCUGAGGUACGAAGGCGUAGGGAGCAAACAGG
RNAcentral lists this ribosomal RNA (403 nucleotides) under Fusobacteriota bacterium. Its description in RNAcentral is "Fusobacteria bacterium partial 16S ribosomal RNA". It matches the Rfam family "Bacterial small subunit ribosomal RNA", at positions 355 to 776 of the family's 1533-position model. Lineage: Bacteria; Fusobacteriati; Fusobacteriota. The record is from RNAcentral.